AACGAACGCUGGCGGCAUGCCUAACACAUGCAAGUCGAACGAGACCUUCGGGUCUAGUGGCGCACGGGUGCGUAACGCGUGGGAACCUGCCCUUAGGUUCGGAAUAACUCCCCGAAAGGGGUGCUAAUACCGGAUAAUGUCUUCGGACCAAAGAUUUAUCGCCUUUGGAUGGGCCCGCGUUGGAUUAGCUAGUUGGUAGGGUAAAAGCCUACCAAGGCGACGAUCCAUAGCUGGUCUGAGAGGAUGAUCAGCCACACUGGGACUGAGACACGGCCCAGACCCCUACGGGAGGGAGGAGGGGGGAAUUUUGGAAAAUGGGCGAAAGCCUGAUCCAGCAAUGCCGGGUGAGGUAUGAAGGCCUGAGGGUUGUAAAGCUUUUUUACCCGGGAUGAUAAUGACAGUCCCGGGAAAAUAAGCCCCGGCUAACUCCGU
RNAcentral lists this ribosomal RNA (432 nucleotides) under uncultured bacterium. Its description in RNAcentral is "partial 16S ribosomal RNA". It matches the Rfam family "Bacterial small subunit ribosomal RNA", at positions 29 to 506 of the family's 1533-position model. The record is from RNAcentral.